RNAcentral lists this long non-coding RNA (2100 nucleotides) under Homo sapiens (human). Its description in RNAcentral is "HSALNT0390826". Lineage: Eukaryota; Metazoa; Chordata; Mammalia; Primates; Hominidae. The record is from RNAcentral.
ACACCUCCCAAAAUGCAGAGAAGGCAGGGUGGCUAGGAAUGGCUCUAGUAGAAUUCUCCCCUUAUCUUGUCUGGAAACAAGGGGCAAAGAGCUAUCUAUUUCCUCCUGCCAGCCUCCUGCCCCCAACAGGAUUCCUCACAUCCCAGGACCAGCUGGAAAAGGUGGUGAGAGUUGGAAAGAGACUGCUCAGUGAGGACUGCCCUGCGAACCAGCUUGGAUUCAUCCCGUUCACCUCCACGUUCUGCACUCGGGGCCGAGGGAAGGGAGGCAGCCCAGGCAGCUAGAGAACUUGAUGAAACACACUCAAUCUGAAUCUCGCUUGAUCGUCAUGCUGACCCAGUGAGGCCUCUCCAGCCCCUGCUGGGACCACUGGCCCAGGAGGAAGUCUGGGCUCUGGCUGCCACCUGCUUCCUCUCAGGAGUUCUUCUCCCUCCCAAGCAUGGAUUUGCAUUUCCCCCUCUGCCUUCUGCUACUCAAGCCCCCAGGGAUGAGGUGACAGUUAACCCCCCACUUCCUGCUAGUGGCCCCAGAGCGCUCACUUCCUUCCAGUCUACUCAGGGUCAGGCAUCCUUUCCGACUACUCACUCAGCAGCGGAUCCCCACCCGCCUCUGACUCCCAGUGUCUUUCGGCUCCAACGUAAGUUCACCGAACGUCUAAGAGCUGAGGAUUCAAAGGCAUGUAAGACCGCCCCUGCCCUCAGCUGCAAGACCUGUCCGCGAUCCUACGAGGUAAACGAUGGCCUCCUUCGGCUUCUCACUCCCCCUGCCACCUCUGAGUUCUGAGACUUAACUUUUCUCUUUACUGUCCCACAGCCCCAUUCCGCCCUCUUUCCCCGACCUUGGUCCCCCAUGGGCCCUACAACCAGGUCCCCGACUGACACCUUGACCAGCGAACACAGCAAACAGGCCCGCAGAUGCCGCAGGUCCUUCGGCACCGUCUCCAGGGCCAUCUUCGCCGAUGGGAAGAACAACAGGGAGAUAGACGACCACAGCCUGUGCACCCGCAGGAAGUAAAUAGCUCGUUACCCAGAAUGCCCACCACUUCCGGCGCUUAGACUUCCUCUUCCGGUGUGGGCGGACGCCAGCUCCGCCCCUACCCCCGCCAGAGGAGAUGGUUUCUCCCGCCAGCAGGCGGGGAGGCUGGGCGGCCGGCCGCCACCUGGGCCGGAGCGCGUCGCAGCCACCUGAGCCCGCCGAGGGCGCGGCGGAGGCUGUGUGGGGUAGUCAGCGGGCCCCCGGGGCGGGGGGGCGGCUGCGCUUGCGCGGGAGUGUGUCGGGCUGAGCCGCAGCGCCGAGACGCGGGCUGUUUGAUCUGGGCUGGUGGCCCUGGGCGUCGGUCCUGUUCCCCGAUGGUAACCCGAAGUUUGUUUUUUUUUGUUUUGUCUCCCCGUUUUAGAAGCAUUGGGGGCAGUGAAUCCACUGUCUCCCUCUGGAUUGUCUCUGCAGAGACCGAGAAGAAAUCCAGGGACAGCCCCACCCCUCCUUCCUAACUGCGAGAGCGCUAUAGGGUUUCCACUUGCUUCCCACAGGAAUGCUGGCCUGGGAGCUACGGCGGAAAAAAAUGCGUAUUUAUCUUUUAAAACUCCGUCUGUUUGCUCGUUCCGGCUGAUAAUUUAUACUUUGCGCAGUUCUUAGCGCUUAGACACGGUUCCUUUACUAAAGACCAUUUGUAGGAGAUUAGGUGUCCUUUUUUUCCCUUUCAUUUCACCGUCUAGGAAGCGAAAUGCCUUGUUCUAUAGGCACUAAACCACCACCCCUACCAAACCUUUCUCGGGGAAGCAGAAGGGGAACUUGUGCCUUGUGAGGAAGCGACAAAGGCCCCUUCUGGCCCUGGAGACUUCACGCCAAUGGAGCACCAGCUCUCUGUCCUCGCAAUAGCCCGAGUGCAGGCAGAACGCAGUCAUUUGUGUUUAUCUGAGAGGAGCUUUGGGAUAUAAAUAGUUUCAGGCCCCGCUGCGCUGUCAUUCCAGCCCAGCCUCCUGAUUGAGCUGCUUCCGGGCGGGCUUUCUUCUUGUUGGCGGUCCCAUGCUGUGUUCAGAUGGGCUCUGUGACAGGUUUGGAUGUUUUCUAUCACUGAAUAAAACUUUCCACUUUGGAACA